This 300-nucleotide ribosomal RNA is filed under the name Triticum aestivum (bread wheat). RNAcentral's name for it is "partial small subunit ribosomal RNA". The record is from RNAcentral. Lineage: Eukaryota; Viridiplantae; Streptophyta; Magnoliopsida; Poales; Poaceae.
AUGCAUGGUUCGAUGCAUAGUGUCGUUCAAACAUCGGCCAGUCAGCAUCAUCCGUGUAGCAGCGCUCUUAUCAUGGCGGAACUACUCUUUGGCCGACACUCGAUGCACGAUUUGCAGACAACGCUUGAUCGUGCGGUUGUGCAACACUUACUCCUACCGAUGCAUGGUUCGAUGCAUAGUGUCGUUCAAACAUCGGCCAGCCAGUGUCGUCCGUGUAGCAGCGCUCUUAUCAUGGCUUCUGCUACAGUUCUGCUGCUUGGCUCUAUGGUAAUGUUGAUUGGAACAUGCUUGACAAGCUGA